ACUCAAAUGAAUUGACGGGGGCCCGCACAAGCGGUGGAGCAUGUGGUUCAAUUCGACGCAACGCGAAGAACCUUACCUGGGCUCGAACGGCUGUGGACCGGGGUGGAAACACCUUUUCCCCGCAAGGGGCCGCAGUCGAGGUGCUGCAUGGCUGUCGUCAGCUCGUGUCGUGAGAUGUUGGGUUAAGUCCCGCAACGAGCGCAACCCUUGUCCGUUGUUGCCAUACUUUAAAAAGUGGAACUCGACGGAGACCGCCAGCGACAAGCUGGAGGAAGGUGGGGACGACGUCAAGUCAUCAUGGCCUUUAUGUCCAGGGCUACACACGUGCUACAAUGGGCGGUACAGAGGGUCGCUAACCCGCGAGGGGGAGCCAAUCCCAAAAAGCCGUCCUCAGUUCGGAUUGCAGGCUGCAACUCGCCUGCAUGAAGCUGGAAUCGCUAGUAAUGGCAUAUCAGAACGAUGCCGUGAAUACGUUCCCGGGCCUUGUACACACCGCCCGU
RNAcentral lists this ribosomal RNA (500 nucleotides) under uncultured bacterium. Its description in RNAcentral is "partial 16S ribosomal RNA". It matches the Rfam family "Bacterial small subunit ribosomal RNA", at positions 899 to 1397 of the family's 1533-position model. The record is from RNAcentral.